UACGUAGGGUGCGAGCGUUGUCCGGAAUUAUUGGGCGUAAAGGGCUCGUAGGCGGUCUGUUGCGUCGGGAGUGAAAACUCAGGGCUUAACCCUGAGCCUGCUUCCGAUACGGGCAGACUAGAGGUAUGCAGGGGAGAACGGAAUUCCUGGUGUAGCGGUGAAAUGCGCAGAUAUCAGGAGGAACACCAGCGGCGAAGGCGGUGCUCUGGGCCGGAACUGACGCUGAGGAGCGAAAGCGUGGGGAGCGAACAGG
This 253-nucleotide ribosomal RNA is filed under the name uncultured bacterium. RNAcentral describes it as "partial 16S ribosomal RNA". It matches the Rfam family "Bacterial small subunit ribosomal RNA", at positions 524 to 776 of the family's 1533-position model. The record is from RNAcentral.